RNAcentral lists this ribosomal RNA (497 nucleotides) under uncultured bacterium. Its description in RNAcentral is "partial 16S ribosomal RNA". It matches the Rfam family "Bacterial small subunit ribosomal RNA", at positions 28 to 507 of the family's 1533-position model. The record is from RNAcentral.
GAUGAACGCUGGCGGCGUGCCUAAUACAUGCAAGUCGAGCGAACGGACGAGAAGCUUGCUUCCUUGAUGUUAGCGGCGGACGGGUGAGUAACACGUGGAUAACCUACCUAUAAGACUGGGAUAACUUCGGGAAACCGGAGCUACUACCGGAUGAUAUUUUGAACCGCAGGGUUCAAAAGUGAAAGACGGUCUUGCUGUCACUUAUAGCUGGUUCCGCGCUGCAUUAGCUAGUUGGUAAGGUAACGGCUUACCAAGGCAACGAUGCAUAGCCGACCUGAGAGGGUGAUCGGCCACACUGGAACUGAGACACGGUCCAGACUCCUACGGGAGGCAGCAGUAGGGAAUCUUCCGCAAUGGGCGCAAGCCUGACGGAGCAACGCCGCGUGAGUGAUGAAGGUCUUCGGAUCGUAAAACUCUGUUAUUAGGGAAGAACAGAUGUGUAAGUAACUCUGCACAUCUUGACGGUACCUAAACAGAAAGCCACGGCUAACUACGUG